UACGGAGGGGGCUAGCGUUGUUCGGAAUUACUGGGCGUAAAGCGCGCGUAGGCGGCUUUGUAAGUUAGAAGUGAAAGCCCGGAGCUCAACUCCGGAAUAGCCUUUAAGACUGCAUCGCUAGAACGUUGGAGAGGUAAGUGGAAUUCCGAGUGUAGAGGUGAAAUUCGUAGAUAUUCGGAAGAACACCAGUGGCGAAGGCGACUUACUGGACAACUGUUGACGCUGAGGUGCGAAAGCGUGGGGAGCAAACAGG
RNAcentral lists this ribosomal RNA (253 nucleotides) under uncultured bacterium. RNAcentral's name for it is "partial 16S ribosomal RNA". It matches the Rfam family "Bacterial small subunit ribosomal RNA", at positions 524 to 776 of the family's 1533-position model. The record is from RNAcentral.